RNAcentral lists this ribosomal RNA (254 nucleotides) under uncultured bacterium. RNAcentral's name for it is "partial 16S ribosomal RNA". It matches the Rfam family "Bacterial small subunit ribosomal RNA", at positions 524 to 776 of the family's 1533-position model. The record is from RNAcentral.
UACGGGGGGAGCAAGCGUUGUUCGGAUUUACUGGGCGUAAAGGGCGCGUAGGCGGCCACCGCAAGUCGACUGUGAAAUCUCCGGGCUUAACCCGGAAAGGUCAGCCGAUACUGCGGGGCUAGAGUGCAGAAGGGGCAACUGGAAUUCUCGGUGUAGCGGUGAAAUGCGUAGAUAUCGAGAGGAACACCUGCGGCGAAGGCGGCUCACUGGCCCGGUACUGACGCUGAGGUGCGAAAGCGUGGGGAGCAAACAGG